Anopheles aquasalis is the source of this 1303-nucleotide long non-coding RNA. RefSeq lists it as uncharacterized. The record is from RefSeq and is a predicted model, not a curated record. Lineage: Eukaryota; Metazoa; Arthropoda; Insecta; Diptera; Culicidae.
CGACCGACCGUAUCGUCGCCCGUCGCCGUCGUCGUCGUCGAUUGUGCUGCGUGUGUUGUGGCUUGCCGUAUGUGCGAGUUCUCGACUGUGUUUGUGUGCGUGCAUCUGUGUGUUUUCGUUUCGUGCAUCGAGAGCAUGCCGGAAGGGGGAGGAGAGUAGGAAAAAGGGGGGAAUGAAAAGUCUGGUGUGAGGCAAGUGUGAAAAGGGCGCCGCAGAAAACCAUAAAUUUGCGUGCGCGGUCUCUUCUUCUGUUUACAAUCUCCCGGUGGGGGUGGAAGGUGCUGUUCACCGGAAGCGAAGUGUGAACACAGAACGACACAAACCAACUGCGGUGUGGUGAAUCGAUGAAAAGUGUUUUAAUCGGUGAAAAGCAAUUAUACCAAGUCAAGCUUUUGUGUGAGUGCGAAGUGCGAUUAAAGAAGAAGGGCAGUGAAAACGCAUUUACAAAGUGAAAACCAUUACGGGAAAUUGUUGGAAGUUUUUCCACUAAAAUGGAAAUGAAGUCACAUUGCCAGUGAUACGGUUCAUCAAGCGCGUACAAAAUCGAAGUGAUAAGGCUAGAAGCACCGCGCAGCCCGAAUACAAGGAAGUCAAAGCCAUUUCAAUUCCAAACGGCCGCCAGUUUGUGUCAUUUGUCUCUCGAAAGCACACGGCCCUUGCGGGUCGGUGAGCAUUUUUAAUUGGAUUAAAAUCCAGCGCUCCUCCAUUCAACACACACCCCAGCCACAGGACACCACCAGGCAGACCACGUAUUCAGCGUGACUCGCGCAUUCAGCCGAUCAGCAGACGGGUGUCUUGAGUGGACGGAAGAAGCAGGCAGCAGAGCAUCAGAACCACGACCAGCACCGUGGCCCGAACGUUCACCCAAAAACGGGCUGCCAUCUUUGAGCCGAGCGGAAAUGGAUGCUGGCAACGUGUAACUUUGCAACAGAAGCCCCCUUGGGCCAGCCUUUUUGGCCAACGAAAGCAAAACGUAGCAGUGCGCAAGCAGUGCACGUGGGCCUCGCGGAAAAUGCAAAACAGCACACGGCGUGUACAGCCACCCACGAACAGCCGGGGCGGCAGGAAAUGAUUUCCUUUGGUUUUCUUGCAACGUGAACAGCGCAUCAACGCAUUGGCCAGAGCAGCGGUGUUUGCUUUUACUCCCGGGCAAAGGCAUAAAACAGUGAGCGAGUGAGAGCGUGGAGUGUGGUGUUGUGUGAAGCGACCGUCCUGGUUUACCUUCCUAUCUGACCUGGUGAUGAGCGUCGUGGCCGAGACCGAAAACCAAAAGUGACCACGCCAGGCUGGUUCAGAGUCCAAA